UAGCCCAGCGAAAGUUUGGAUUAAUGCUCCAUGUGAGUUUUUAGAGGCAUCUCUUUAAUUUGAAACGUAAGGAUUAUGGGUGAGCAACGCUUCUGAUUUAGGGUAGUUUGGUGAGGUAACGGCUCACCAAGCCGACGAUCAGUAGGGGUUCUGAGAGGAAGGUCCCCCCACAUUGGAACUGAGACACGGUCCAAACUCCUACGGGAGGCAGCAGUGAGGAAUAUUGGUCAAUGGGCGAAAGCCUGAACCAGCCAAGUCGCGUGAAGGAUGAAGGUUCUAUGGAUUGUAAACUUCUUUUAUACGGGAAUAAAGCCCGCUACGUGUAGCGGUUUGUAUGUACCGUAUGAAUAAGCAUCGGCUAACUCCGUG
This 369-nucleotide ribosomal RNA is filed under the name uncultured bacterium. RNAcentral's name for it is "bacterial SSU rRNA". It matches the Rfam family "Bacterial small subunit ribosomal RNA", at positions 144 to 507 of the family's 1533-position model. The record is from RNAcentral.